AUGGAUCCGGAAAUGAGGGAUCGUGUUAGGAAGAGGGAGGAGGAGGAUGACAAAAUGAUGUUAUUUGUUUUCCCUGCACUACAUUUGAUAGAGACCGAUGGAGUUGCUCUUAGGGAGCGGAGGAUUCCACGCCAUACAUCAUCGCUAACAGGCGAGAUGUUUGUUAAGGAGUUACUCGAAGGGCACGUCAAAAACUGUCGGGUAGCAUUUAGGAUGGAGCCGCAUAUCUUCAAAUCUUUAGCUAAUUAUCUUCGAAGGGAGAAGUUGGUGAAAGAUACCAGAAUUAAAGUCGAAGAGAAACUAGCAUCAUUUUUGUGGAUGUUGUCCCAUAAUUCUUCAUUUGAAGACCUUCAAGUUCGGUUUGGUCACAGCGGGGAUACUUUCCAUUAG
RNAcentral lists this ribosomal RNA (390 nucleotides) under Triticum aestivum (bread wheat). RNAcentral's name for it is "partial small subunit ribosomal RNA". The record is from RNAcentral. Lineage: Eukaryota; Viridiplantae; Streptophyta; Magnoliopsida; Poales; Poaceae.